CCCUUAGAUGUUCUGGGCCGCACGCGCGCUACACUGAUUCAUGCACUAAGUAUAUAACCUUGGUAGAAAUGCUUGGGUAAUCUUCGAAACUGAAUCGUGCUGGGGAUUGGAGCUUGUAAUUAUUCUCCAUGAACGAGGAAUUCCUAGUAAACGCGAGUCAUCAGCUCGCAUUGAUUACGUCCCUGCCCUUUGUACACACCGCCCGUCGCACCUACCGAUUGAAUGGUCCGGUGAAAUCUUCGGACCGCGCAACGCCGCAAGGUGAUGCGUGGAAAGUUGCUUAAACCUUACCAUUUAGAGGGAGGUGAAGUCGUAACA
Molecule: ribosomal RNA, 318 nt
Filed under: uncultured eukaryote
Lineage: Eukaryota
Description: partial 18S ribosomal RNA
Rfam family: Eukaryotic small subunit ribosomal RNA
Source: RNAcentral